Non-coding RNA from Tupaia belangeri chinensis (Chinese tree shrew), 477 nucleotides. NCBI's taxonomy places the organism in Eukaryota, Metazoa, Chordata, Mammalia, Scandentia, Tupaiidae. The record is from the annotation of a RefSeq genome assembly.
ACUGUGGAAAAUUACUAUACGAAACACUUCAGUAGAGGAACAAAACUCAUUGUCACAGACAGAACCUUGAAUACAGACCUCUCCCCCAAGCCCACCAUGUUUCUUCCUUCAGUUGCUGAAACGAACCUCCAUGAUGCUGGAACGCAUCUUUGUCUUCUUGAGAAAUUUUUCCCUGAUGAGAUUUAUGUACAUUGGAAAGAAAAGAAUGGCAAAACGAUCCUGGAAUCCCAGCAGGGAAAAACCAUGAAGAUCAAUGACACAUACAUGAAAUUUAGCUGGCUGACUGUGAGCGGAAAUUCCCUGAAUAAAGAACACCAGUGCAUCGUCAAACAUGAGAACAAUAAAGGAGGUGUCGACCAAGAGAUUCUCUUUCCUCCAAUAAGGAAAGCUGUCGUGGCUAUUGAUCCAACAGAAGUUCCUUUAACAGGUCAGAGUGGUAAUUUUUUGUGUAUAUUUGCCCUUAUGCCAUGCUAUUGA